CCCAAAAAUGAAGAAAGCAAAAAAAUCUUUCGAGGCUAUAUUAAACUUAAUAAAUAAGCACCACUAGAUUGCUAAAAAAAUAAUACUACAGAAUGUUUAGGAAAAUAUCUAACCCCUAGUGAUAGUGAUAGAUUUAGGAAGAUAUUCAAUAAUAACUGAUUUAAUCAAUUCUCUGUAAACUCUAGAAGAUCAACAAAAUUAGAUUGAGAGAUUUUACUUAUACCCUUAGGAUCUUAAAGUCUUCCCAAAACUACAAAAUCCUAGCCUACUUUCUAAGAAAACAAAAUAAAAUUAUGAACCUUUUAUAAAUUCUAGGACUGGCUC
This 324-nucleotide long non-coding RNA is filed under the name Elaeis guineensis (African oil palm). RNAcentral describes it as "long non-coding RNA (EGUI_LNC035907)". Lineage: Eukaryota; Viridiplantae; Streptophyta; Magnoliopsida; Arecales; Arecaceae. The record is from RNAcentral.